Molecule: ribosomal RNA, 139 nt
Filed under: Capsicum annuum
Lineage: Eukaryota; Viridiplantae; Streptophyta; Magnoliopsida; Solanales; Solanaceae
Description: 5.8S ribosomal RNA
Rfam family: 5.8S ribosomal RNA
About the family: 5.8S ribosomal RNA (5.8S rRNA) is a component of the large subunit of the eukaryotic ribosome. It is transcribed by RNA polymerase I as part of the 45S precursor that also contains 18S and 28S rRNA.
Source: Rfam by way of RNAcentral
UUCAAUAGCCAAGGGAUAUCUCGACUCUUACAUCGAUGAAGAACGUAGUAAAAUAUAAUACUUGAUAUGAAUUACAGAAUUCUGUAACUAUCAAGUCUUUAAAUGUAAGUUACAUUCGAAGUCAUUAGGUGGAGGGCAC